AGUGAACGCUGGCGGUAGGCCUAACACAUGCAAGUCGAACGGCAGCACAGUAAGAGCUUGCUCUUACGGGUGGCGAGUGGCGGACGGGUGAGGAAUACAUCGGAAUCUACUUUUUCGUGGGGGAUAACGUAGGGAAACUUACGCUAAUACCGCAUACGACCUACGGGUGAAAGCAGGGGAUCUUCGGACCUUGCGCGAUUGAAUGAGCCGAUGUCGGAUUAGCUAGUUGGCGGGGUAAAGGCCCGCCAAGGCGACGAUCCGUAGCUGGUCUGAGAGGAUGAUCAGCCGCACUGGAACUGAGACACGGUCCAGACUCCUACGGGAGGCAGCAGUGGGGAAUAUUGGACAAUGGGCGCAAGCCUGAUCCAGCCAUACCGCGUGGGUGAAGAAGGCCUUCGGGUUGUAAAGCCCUUUUGUUGGGAAAGAAAAGCAGCAGGUUAAUACCCCGCUGUUCUGACGGUACCCAAAGAAUAAGCACCGGCUAACUUCGUG
This 492-nucleotide ribosomal RNA is filed under the name uncultured bacterium. RNAcentral's name for it is "partial 16S ribosomal RNA". It matches the Rfam family "Bacterial small subunit ribosomal RNA", at positions 29 to 507 of the family's 1533-position model. The record is from RNAcentral.